UAGUAGGAAGACCGAUAGCGAACAAGUAGCGUGACGAAGUUUGAAAAGCACUUUGGAAAGAGAGUGACAUGAACCUAAAGUCGUGACAACGACAAUGGACGUACCUCCAUUUCAUCGGCCAAAACCGACCUCCAAGCAUUAUCCUCUAUGACUUUAGCGCAAUGGGGGCAACAAGUGCAGAAGCAGAGGUUCCGGUCCAGCGAGCAGGAGUAAAGUUGGGAGCACAGUUACUGCGAGCCCCUUCUUUCUUGUGAGCUCCAUUUUUGGCGCUGGAGAUGGGGUGCCUCCACCCGUCUUGAAACACGGACAAAGGAGUCAAACAGACGCGCAAGGGAGAAGAUAUGUUUUCGAGUACUUCUCUCGUACUGAAAGGGAGCCAGCAAUGGGUAUGGUGUGCACAAUUUACUUGCUCAACACCGACCGGCCGUACGCGGGUUGAGUUCGAGUGUGCCUGUUUGGACCCGAAGGUGGUGAACUAUGCCUGAACAAGGUGAAGCCCGGGGAAACCCAGGUGGAGGCCUGUAGCGAUGCUGACGUGCAAAUCCUCGCAUGAUUUGGGUAUCGGAGCGAAAGACUCAUCGAACCACCUAGUAGCUGGUUCACAUCGAAGUUUCCCUCAGGAUGCUGGUGCUUAACUUUUUAUAGUAUUGUGCGGUAAAGCAAAUGAUAGAGGCAUUGGUGUUCUUGUGAUAUCGACCUAUUUCAAACUUUAAAUGUGCAAAACAACCCGCCUUUGCCUAGUCGGAAGGCGGGAAAGAAAAGAAUUAAGGCACCAAGUGCGCUUCUUCGGUAAAGCGGAGCAGGCGAUGCGGAAUGAACCGCUUAGAGAUAUGUGGCGUCAAAACUUAUUUGGCUCAUUCCGAUACGUGAAAAGGGUGUUGGUGGAUAUGGACAGUUGGACGGUGGCCAAGGAAGUCGGCAUCCGCUAAGGAGUGUGUACAACUCACCAACCGAAUCCACCGGUACCGGUG
RNAcentral lists this ribosomal RNA (971 nucleotides) under Dimastigella mimosa. RNAcentral describes it as "LSU rRNA". It matches the Rfam family "Eukaryotic large subunit ribosomal RNA", at positions 323 to 1317 of the family's 3401-position model. Lineage: Eukaryota; Euglenozoa; Kinetoplastea; Neobodonida; Rhynchomonadidae. The record is from RNAcentral.